Molecule: non-coding RNA, 2643 nt
Organism: Camellia sinensis
Lineage: Eukaryota; Viridiplantae; Streptophyta; Magnoliopsida; Ericales; Theaceae
Source: RefSeq, a predicted model, not a curated record
UUGAUUCAUUUAUUUUCUCUCUUUCUGAGUUGGUUGUGUUUGUUUUUUAUAUUUUUGUUGUCUUCUUGUGGUAUUAUCAACUUGGUUUUCUCAAAUGACAAAGUUGCAGAUUGGGGGGCCCAAGAUGGGUUGGCUUUAGAUUAUGGUUGACCUUGUGGCUAUAAGCAUGGUGACACAAAGUUUGGUGGCUCGAAAUUGAAUUGGAAAUAUUGGCACAUUGACUAAAGAUUUUUUCUUCUUUCCUUAGUUGUCAACUUGUGUUCAAGCAUGUGUCAGAUUUAUGAAAUCGUUCCAAUCUCAAAAAGUCUUGAAAGAUAUGUUUGUGUUGGGAAAAGUAAGAGACAAAGCGUGGCCAAAACAUGGAAAAACCGUGGUUCAAAAUAUGGAAGAAAACAUGCAAAAGAUGCAGUAAGAAGUCAGCAAAAUCAGCUGGUCUCGUUUCUCACAAUCGCGCCCGCGGUAAAGGACAUCGCGCCGGGGCCAAGUCGCGACCAAAUCAGCUCCAGAAGUUGGCUCUACAUCCCGCAAAGGAUGGUCGCGGCCGCGAUAAUGACCACAGCUGUGACCAUGUGGUCCGCAGCAGCGAGAAAGCCCUGCGCCAGGCCUAUUUAAGACAGGUUCGGCUGGUUUAUUUUGUAUCUCUCAUACUUAUAUUCGGAGCACUCUCUCCUAAGUUUUUCUGGAUAUUUUUAUCUUUUGAAAGAUCAUUUUUAUGAGUGAGAAAUACAUUUGUGAGAGAGAGAUCAUUUUGUUGUUGAGAGAUUUUGCUAAGUGUUUAAGAGUGAACUUUCUAGUGAGGAUUUUGUUGUAUUACUCUCGUUUGCUUGAUGAUUCAUUAGCAACCAAGAACUUCAAAGCUAAUCAUCAAGUUGUAAUAAGUCCUUCACUCCUUUCGAUUGUGAACCUUCUUGGCGGAUUCCAAAAUUGUAGACUUCGGUGGAUUCCGAAGUCAUUGGGGUCAUGGUGAUUCAACAAUUGUUAAGGAGGUCCAGUGGAGGAAGAAGAGUGACCCGUAGGUCGAGCAAAUAUGCGUGAGCCCGGAGUGGCCUUUACUGUUGUUCAUCGAAGUUUUGCAGUAGUAGAUAAUCUUGGUGAAGUUUCUGCAAACGCACAGUGUGCUUCGAUAGCCUUGGUCUUAUGCUUGUGCCUUGAACAUUUUGUUCAGAAACAAUCUAAGGUUGCAAGCAAGUUUGCCUUUUGUUGUGUGCCCAAUCUUCUCAGCAAUCGACCUCAUUGGAGUUUAUCAAGGUUUGAAGCAUGUUCAUCUACAGACAUUAACUAAGGUUGGCCUUUUAUGCUUGUACUAAACUAACAGUCAUUCUGUUGACAUUAUUGGGUGUGUAUAUGAGAACUUCAAUAAAGGUGUUGCUCACAUAUUGAGACUACUUUGUGUUUUUAAAGAAUGUAAAUUUUGCUCCCUAUUUGAUGAGUUCCCCUCAUGUACUAUCUCGAGUUUUUGGCUUUAGUCUCCCAUAGGUAAGUUGUGCCUGACAAGCUAAUGCUCAAAAAAUGUUUUAUUGAUAGAUUCCUAAAAAUGUUUGGAUAUCAUGCCUCCAUUAGAUAACUUGUUUAUGCAUUACAUUCUCUUGAUUUUUUUUUUCCUUCAUUAAUCAACCCUUUUUUUUUUUGGUUGUCUUGCUAUCAAAAUUCAAAACCAGUUUCAAUAGGUAAUCAGUAAUUACUGUGCCAUUGCCUGCAACAAACCACAUCAUUUUUAUUGUGCCAUUGCUUGCUUCAAGCCACCCACAGAAACAAAUUCCCCAACUCCUUUGUGUGAUGUUCUUGGAAAUGAGUCCCCGUUGGAGUACAUAUUCUCCAACAAUGCUCCAUUGUUUCAGGGAUGAAGGAAAUGUCUGUAUUCUCUUUAGAAUGCUUUGUAGUAUUGCUUCUUAUUAUCCAUUUCUCGUUGUCAAGAUAGGCUUGAGAUUAUAAUUAAUACUUGGAUUCAGUUGGGAUGUAUUCCUUCACCAGCAGAUGUGAGUGAAGAGGAAGGUAUUGAUUUCAUGUGGAACAAAGGUGAGGUCUUGCACCUUAAUUUUUCCAUAAAUAUGUUUAUUGCUUUUAUAUGGGGUGCUUUAGAAUUGGAUACUGGCAUUUAGUGAGAUUUGGAUUAGGCAGAGGAUCGUGGCCCAUAAGAAUUGGUUGCUUAAACCCCAAAAGUCAAUUACCAAGGUUGUCGAUGAUGACUAUACGAUCUUUGAAUAAUGAAGACUUCUAUUUCAUAUGUCCGGAGAUCCUUUGCAGUGGAAUGGAAAAAACUUGGCAAGUCAAGAAUUCAAACAGAGCAUCGGUUAUCAGUUAUUGAGGUGUUCCUCUGUUUUUGAUGCCAAUAUCCACACACCAGUUUCUCAACUUUAUGGGGAGAUCCUAGAAGAUAAUGGUAUUGACUUGGCAGAAAUGAAGGUUUUGAGGAGGAAGAUGGAGGAGAUAGCAAUCUUUGUAAAGCAGGGCAGUACUACCACUUAAUUUGCCCAAUUAGUUAAAAGUACAUUAAACAUGGUGUGUUAUAUAUUUGUUUAUUAAAACAGAAGAAAAGUGGAUUGGAUCAUUCUUUUUUCUUCCAGUAUAAAUGUUUAUUUAUGUUUUGCUUUUCUUUUUACUGUAGUGCAAAGGUGGGGAUUCAGAGGAGAAGAGCUUAUCCCU